Molecule: ribosomal RNA, 419 nt
Filed under: uncultured microorganism
Description: bacterial SSU rRNA
Rfam family: Bacterial small subunit ribosomal RNA
Source: RNAcentral
GAGUUUGAUCGUGGCUCAGAUUGAACGCUGGCGGCAUGCCUUACACAUGCAAGUCGAACGGCAGCAUGAUCUAGCUUGCUAGAUUGAUGGCGAGUGGCGAACGGGUGAGUAAUACAUCGGAACGUGCCCUGUAGUGGGGGAUAACUAGUCGAAAGAUUAGCUAAUACCGCAUACGACCUGAGGGUGAAAGUGGGGGACCGCAAGGCCUCAUGCUAUUGGAGCGGCCGAUGUCUGAUUAGCUAGUUGGUGGGUAAAGGCCCACCAAGGCGACGAUCAGUAGCUGGUCUGAGAGGACGAUCAGCCACACUGGGACUGAGACACGGCCCAGACUCCUACGGGAGGCAGCAGUGGGGAAUUUUGGACAAUGGGCGAAAGCCUGAUCCAGCAAUGCGCGUGUGUGAAGAAGGCCUCGGUGUAAG